GGAUGGGCUCGCGGCCUAUCAGCUUGUUGGUGGGGUGAUGGCCUACCAAGGCGACGACGGGUAGCCGGCCUGAGAGGGCGACCGGCCACACUGGGACUGAGACACGGCCCAGACUCCUACGGGAGGCAGCAGUGGGGAAUAUUGCGCAAUGGGCGAAAGCCUGACGCAGCGACGCCGCGUGGGGGAUGAAGGCCUUCGGGUUGUAAACCUCUUUCAGCAGGGAAGAAGCGAGAGUGACGGUACCUGCAGAAGAAGCACCGGCUAACUACGUGCCAGCAGCCGCGGUAAUACGUAGGGUGCAAGCGUUGUCCGGAUUUAUUGGGCGUAAAGAGCUCGUAGGCGGUUUGUCGCGUCUGCUGUGAAAACUCGGGGCUUAACUCCGGGCCUGCAGUGGGUACGGGCAGACUAGAGUGCGGUAGGGGAGACUGGAAUCCCUGGUGUAGCGGUGAAAUGCGCAGAUAUCAGGAGGAACACCGGUGGCGAAGGCGGGUCUCUGGGCCGUAACUGACGCUGAGGAGCGAAAGCGUGGGGAGCGAACAGGAUUAGAUACCCUGGUAGUCCACGCCGUAAACGUUGGGCGCUAGGUGUGGGGCUCUUUCCACGAGUUCCGUGCCGCAGCAAACGCAUUAAGCGCCCCGCCUGGGGAGUACGGCCGCAAGGCUAAAACUCAAAGGGAUUGACGGGGGCCCGCACAAGCGGCGGAGCAUGCGGAUUAAUUCGAUGCAACGCGAAGAACCUUACCAAGGCUUGACAUGGGCGGUAAUCCGGCAGAGAUGUCGGGUCCGUAAGGGCCGUUCACAGGUGGUGCAUGGUUGUCGUCAGCUCGUGUCGUGAGAUGUUGGGUUAAGUCCCGCAACGAGCGCAACCCUCGUUCUAUGUUGCCAGCACGUUAUGGUGGGGACUCAUAGAGACUGCCGGGGUCAACUCGGAGGAAGGUGGGGAUGACGUCAAAUCAUCAUGCCCCUUAUGUCUUGGGCUUCACGCAUGCUACAAUGGCCAGUACAAAGGGCUGCGAGACCGUGAGGUGGAGCGAAUCCCAAAAAGCUGGUCUCAGUUCGGAUCGGGGUCUGCAACUCGACCCCGUGAAGUCGGAGUCGCUAGUAAUCGCAGACCAGCAACGCUGCGGUGAAUACGUUCCCGGGCCUUGUACACACCGCCCGUCACGUCACGAAAGUCGGUAACACCCGAAGCCGGUGGCCUAACCCGUGAGGGAGGGAGCUGUCGAAGGUGGGACUGGCGAUUGGGAAGAAGUC
This 1253-nucleotide ribosomal RNA is filed under the name metagenome. RNAcentral describes it as "bacterial SSU rRNA". It matches the Rfam family "Bacterial small subunit ribosomal RNA", at positions 223 to 1487 of the family's 1533-position model. The record is from RNAcentral.